AGUAACACACAAAUAAUGAUUACGCUGAUUAAGACUAUUGUUUAUUUCAGGACAAAUGAGAAAACUUUACAUUUGAAGGAUUUUCAUUGUUUUUUUAAUGAUUAAUUGAUUGGUAGAAAAGCAAUUAGUUAAUUGUCACGAGAAAUGACUAAAGCUUAAAUCUAAAUGUCAUAGUAGUUACCGUUUUAAAUGCGUUUUUGUUAAUUAGCUAAUUAAUUAUCUCAUAUCCGGCUGUUCUGAUUUUUAAUUGUUAAAAAUAUGUGAAGAAAAUGUCAAACUAUUUAAAAGUUAUUAUUUUCUCUAAGUAUAAAAGGAGAUGAAAUUGAAUUGUGAAAAUCAUUCUGACUCUUCAUUUGUUCAACAAACAUUUAACUGAUUAUUUGAAUUUUGUUCGUGUGUCUAAAUCACUCAACUCAAUCCCAAUAAAUAAAAUGGACUCCAAAUCAUUUGUCGUUUAUGUCGCUCUCUUUGCUUCAGCCAUCGCAAUGGCUUUUGCUGAUCCUGCCCCAGAACCUGAGCCACAACCAAUCAUGAGCUUGGUCAACGGUCUUCUCGGAUAAAUUGUCUUUUAAUCGACAGCGACUAAUCAAAUGUUGAUUACAUUGAUACCUUGGAAUGGUCAUUAUGAUUUACUAAUAGUUAAUUGCAGUUAUAUAAAUUUUGAUGAAUAAAUUAAGCAUUUAAAAACUAAAAAA
Long non-coding RNA from Panonychus citri (citrus red mite), 695 nucleotides. RefSeq lists it as uncharacterized. The record is from RefSeq and is a predicted model, not a curated record. The transcript has 2 exons. NCBI's taxonomy places the organism in Eukaryota, Metazoa, Arthropoda, Arachnida, Trombidiformes, Tetranychidae.